RNAcentral lists this long non-coding RNA (1155 nucleotides) under Ananas comosus (pineapple). RNAcentral describes it as "long non-coding RNA (ACOM_LNC044427)". Lineage: Eukaryota; Viridiplantae; Streptophyta; Magnoliopsida; Poales; Bromeliaceae. The record is from RNAcentral.
ACAAGAAGAGUAAGUAAUCCACAAGAUAUACGAGUGAAAUAAGGAGAGUACUUUACUAACUAUUACAAUAGUUGCAUUCUUUACAUUUACAUCAUUUUCCAAAAUGAAUACAUUUGAUCCUCAAAAUACAUAGCUCUCCCAAAUCCUCACCUACAAUGGAUCUCUCUCUCAAUACAUAGGUGAACUAAUGCAAAAAGGAAAGCUACUAGACUACUACGGUCUCACUGGUCGGGCGCGGUGCCCUUGCCGCGAUCCUCUCUCUGCAGCCCUGAACCUACCACUGGAAAUAGAGUGGGGUGAGAACUAUCUUCCAUAGUUCCCAGUGGGCUCGGCCGCCGACUCUGCCGAUCUCCCCACUAGGUCCAAGUGGGCACAAGUAACAACAGAUAGAUAGAUAGAUAGAUAUGUAUCUGAAAGCAGUAAAUGCGAUAGUAGGAAAAACUAUGCUACUAUGCCCAUAAUCAUGAAUAUGAAUGCAUGCAUCAUAUAAUAAAGGUUUGCUACCAUGCUAACAAAUUCGAUCUAUGUUCAAAUAAUAAUGUUCAAUGACAUUUUAAACCUUUAACUUUUCCUUUACCCAAUCUGUGGCGAGGCCCUUGGGCUCGCCCAUGACUCACCUUUCAAUCCCAAAGUGGGGAGGGAGCUCCAAGUGCACCCAAGCCCGGGACCGUCUGCGGACCUCCAUGUGGUCCGAACCUCCAAGUGGUCCUAGUCGCGCGACACUCCGGAGUACUCGACGACAAUCCCCUCCAUGUAGGGAUUGGAUGGCUAUGCCAUCCUAAACGCAGACUGUGAGCUAGAUCUAUCCUCUCCAUGUGAGGAUACACUGUAACUAGGGUCAACACCCAAUCCAAUCCUCUCCAAAUGAGGAGGCUCUACAACUAGAGUCAAUAACCCAAUCGAAUCCUCUCCAAGUGAGGACGCCCUACACUAGGGUCAACGACUAUCGCGAAAUCAUCGAUUCCCGACAUUCAUGCAAUGCUAUUUAGUUUCCUAAAUUCAUUGUUCACAAGGCAUUUUCUAAGGGAUCCACCUAUCCCUAGGUCCAUCGACCUUUAGUGUUAUUUACACUACAUUAAUGCCACUCGUCAUCAUUUAUUAUUCGGAUGCCACUCGUGUUCUUUAACACUAUCCACUACUUCCUAUGUCAUCAAU